RNAcentral lists this ribosomal RNA (358 nucleotides) under Choeroichthys sculptus. RNAcentral describes it as "partial 12S ribosomal RNA". It matches the Rfam family "Bacterial small subunit ribosomal RNA", at positions 794 to 1352 of the family's 1533-position model. Lineage: Eukaryota; Metazoa; Chordata; Actinopteri; Syngnathiformes; Syngnathidae. The record is from RNAcentral.
GCAUAGCCGUAAACAUUGAUAUCCCAUAUACACCCCUUAUCCGCCAGGGUACUAUAAGCAUAAGCUCAAAACCCAAAGGACCUGGCGGUGCUUUAUAACCCCCUAGAGGAGCCUGUUCUAGAACUGAUAAUCCACACUUAACCUCACCUCUUCUUGCCAAUACCGCCUAUAUACCGCCGUCGUCAGCUUACCUCAUUGAGAGUUUUAUAGUGAGCAAAAUUGGCACACCCCCAAACGUCAGGUCGAGGUGUAGUACAUGAAGAGGGAAGAAAUGGGCUACAUUCGUUAAUUAACGCAUUACGAACCACAUGUUGAAACUACAUGUUUGAAGGAGGAUUUAGCAGUAAAAAGAAAGUAG